Molecule: long non-coding RNA, 321 nt
Filed under: Ananas comosus (pineapple)
Lineage: Eukaryota; Viridiplantae; Streptophyta; Magnoliopsida; Poales; Bromeliaceae
Description: long non-coding RNA (ACOM_LNC029572)
Source: RNAcentral
AAUGUAAAAUAGUAUUUUUGAUAAAAUUAUGUUGUACAUGGCAUGACUUAAUAGACAUUACGAUAUAGAAAAACACGUAUUUCGAAUUUAGGUCCGCCAAUAGACCCAUUUUUUAGUGGAAAUAAAACAUUUCUCUACCGACCGUCCCUAGCGCAAGUGGCAAAGAGCUUGGUGGUUGGUACCCGAGGUCUCAAAUUCGAAUUCUAGUUGAUUAACAUUUCCAGUUAAGUUUAUUUCUAAAUGAAAUAAAUAAAGCGGGUAACAUGCUACCUAUCUUUUAAAAAAAUAUAUAUAAACAUUUCUCUUUCUCACGGAAUAAUA